This 463-nucleotide ribosomal RNA is filed under the name uncultured bacterium. RNAcentral's name for it is "partial 16S ribosomal RNA". It matches the Rfam family "Bacterial small subunit ribosomal RNA", at positions 29 to 507 of the family's 1533-position model. The record is from RNAcentral.
AGUGAACGCUGGCGGCGUGCUUAAUACAUGCAAGUCGAACGAUGAAGUCCUAGCUUGCUAGGAUGGAUUAGUGGCGCACGGGUGAGUAAUAUAUAGUUAAUCUGCCUUGCACUGAGGAACAACAGUUGCAAACGAUUGCUAAUACCUCAUACUCCAACUUUACAUAAGUUAAGUUGGGAAAGUCUUUUCGGUGCAAGAUGAGACUAUAUCGUAUCAGCUAGUUGGUAAGGUAAUGGCUUACCAAGGCUAUGACGCGUAACUGGUCUGAGAGGAUGAUCAGUCACAUUGGAACUGAGACACGGUCCAAACUCCUACGGGAGGCAGCAGUAAGGAAUAUUGUGCAAUGGGGGAAACCCUGACGCAGCAACGCCGCGUGGAGGAUGACACUUUUCGGAGCGUAAACUCCUUUUGUUAGGGAAGAAUAAUGACGGUACCUAACGAAUAAGCACCGGCUAACUCCGUG